CUUGACAUCCAGAGAAUUUAGCAGAGAUGCUUUAGUGCCUUCGGGAACUCUGAGACAGGUGCUGCAUGGCUGUCGUCAGCUCGUGUUGUGAAAUGUUGGGUUAAGUCCGCAACGAGCGCAACCCUUAUCCUUUGUUGCCAGCACGUAAUGGUGGGAACUCAAAGGAGACUGCCGGUGAUAAACCGGAGGAAGGUGGGGAUGACGUCAAGUCAUCAUGGCCCUUACGAGUAGGGCUACACACGUGCUACAGUGGCGCAUACAAAGAGAAGCGACCUCGCGAGAGCAAGCGGACCCCAUAAAGUGCGUCGUAGUCCGGAUUGGAGUCUGCAACUCGACUCCAUGAAGUCGGAAUCGCUAGUAAUCGUAAAUCAGAAUGUUACGGUGAAUACGUUCCCGGGCCUUGUACACACCGCCCGUCACACCAUGGGAGUGGGUUGCAAAAGAAGUAGAUAGCUUAACCUUCGGGAGGGCGUUUACCACUUUGUGAUUCAUGACUGGGGUGAAGUCGUAACAAGGUAAGCGUAGUGCU
This 529-nucleotide ribosomal RNA is filed under the name uncultured bacterium. RNAcentral describes it as "bacterial SSU rRNA". It matches the Rfam family "Bacterial small subunit ribosomal RNA", at positions 980 to 1509 of the family's 1533-position model. The record is from RNAcentral.